Long non-coding RNA from Chelonia mydas (Green sea turtle), 156 nucleotides. RefSeq lists it as uncharacterized. NCBI's taxonomy places the organism in Eukaryota, Metazoa, Chordata, Testudines, Cheloniidae. The transcript has 3 exons. The record is from RefSeq and is a predicted model, not a curated record.
GGGGCGACAAGUGAGUGCCCGAGCAGUGCAGCGUGUAAGGUGCCUCCUUUACCCCCAACCCCGCCUUCCACACAGGGUGGGAGGUGGACUCUGUGGAUGAACCUCUGAACUCUGGGGCUGCACUGGCCAAAGACAGCAACUGUAUGUAUUCCACAG